GGUUAAGCGACCAAGCGUACACGGUGGAUGCCCUGGCAGUCAGAGGCGAUGAAGGACGUGCUAAUCUGCGAAAAGCGCCGGCGAGGUGAUAUGAACCCUUGACCCGGCGAUGUCCGAAUGGGGAAACCCAGUGUGACUCGUCACACUAUCAUUAACUGAAUCCAUAGGUUAAUGAGGCGAACCGGGGGAACUGAAACAUCUAAGUACCCCGAGGAAAAGAAAUCAACCGAGAUUCCCCCAGUAGCGGCGAGCGAACGGGGAGGAGCCCAGAGCCUGAAUCAGCAGGUGUGUUAGUGGAAGUGUCUGGAAAGGCACGCGAUACAGGGUGAGAGCCCCGUACACGAAAAUGCACCUGCUGUGAGCUCGAUGAGUAGGGCGGGACACGUGGUAUCCUGUCUGAAUAUGGGGGGACCAUCCUCCAAGGCUAAAUACUCCUGACUGACCGAUAGUGAACCAGUACCGUGAGGGAAAGGCGAAAAGAACCCCGGCGAGGGGAGUGAAAAAGAACCUGAAACCGUGUACGUACAAGCAGUGGGAGCACAGGUUUACCUGUGUGACUGCGUACCUUUUGUAUAAUGGGUCAGCGACUUAUAUUCUGUAGCAAGGUUAACCGAAUAGGGGAGCCGGAGGGAAACCGAGUCUUAACCGGGCGUUAAGUUGCAGGGUAUAGACCCGAAACCCGGUGAUCUAGCCAUGGGCAGGUUGAAGGUUGGGUAACACUAACUGGAGGACCGAACCGACUAAUGUUGAAAAAUUAGCGGAUGACCUGUGGCUGGGGGUGAAAGGCCAAUCAAACCGGGAGAUAGCUGGUUCUCCCCGAAAGCUAUUUAGGUAGCGCCUCGUGAACUCAUCUCCGGGGGUAGAGCACUGUUUCGGCUAGGGGGCCAUCCCGGCUUACCAACCCGAUGCAAACUGCGAAUACCGGAGAAUGUUAUCACGGGAGACACACGGCGGGUGCUAACGUCCGUCGUGAAGAGGGAAACAACCCAGACCGCCAGCUAAGGUCCCAAAGUCAUGGUUAAGUGGGAAACGAUGUGGGAAGGCCCAGACAGCCAGGAUGUUGGCUUAGAAGCAGCCAUCAUUUAAAGAAAGCGUAAUAGCUCACUGGUCGAGUCGGCCUGCGCGGAAGAUGUAACGGGGCUAAACCAUGCACCGAAGCUGCGGCAGCGGCACGCAAGUGUUGUUGGGUAGGGGAGCGUUCUGUAAGCCGUUGAAGGUGUGCUGUGAGGCAUGCUGGAGGUAUCAGAAGUGCGAAUGCUGACAUAAGUAACGAUAAAGCGGGUGAAAAGCCCGCUCGCCGGAAGACCAAGGGUUCCUGUCCAACGUUAAUCGGGGCAGGGUGAGUCGACCCCUAAGGCGAGGCCGAAAGGCGUAGUCGAUGGGAAACGGGUUAAUAUUCCCGUACUUGGUGUUACUGCGAAGGGGGGACGGAGAAGGCUAUGUUGGCCGGGCGACGGUUGUCCCGGUUUAAGCGUGUAGGCUGGUUUUCCAGGCAAAUCCGGAAAAUCAAGGCUGAGGCGUGACGACGAGGCACCACGGUGCUGAAGCAACAAAUGCCCUGCUUCCAGGAAAAGCCUCUAAGCGUCAGGUAACAUCAAAUCGUACCCCAAACCGACACAGGUGGUCAGGUAGAGAAUACCAAGGCGCUUGAGAGAACUCGGGUGAAGGAACUAGGCAAAAUGGUGCCGUAACUUCGGGAGAAGGCACGCUGACAUGUAGGUGAAGCGGUUUACCCGUGGAGCUGAAGUCAGUCGAAGAUACCAGCUGGCUGCAACUGUUUAUUAAAAACACAGCACUGUGCAAACACGAAAGUGGACGUAUACGGUGUGACGCCUGCCCGGUGCCGGAAGGUUAAUUGAUGGGGUCAGCGCAAGCGAAGCUCCUGAUCGAAGCCCCGGUAAACGGCGGCCGUAACUAUAACGGUCCUAAGGUAGCGAAAUUCCUUGUCGGGUAAGUUCCGACCUGCACGAAUGGCGUAAUGAUGGCCAGGCUGUCUCCACCCGAGACUCAGUGAAAUUGAACUCGCUGUGAAGAUGCAGUGUACCCGCGGCAAGACGGAAAGACCCCGUGAACCUUUACUAUAGCUUGACACUGAACACUGGUCCUUGAUGUGCAGGAUAGGUGGGAGGCUUUGAAGCGUGGACGCCAGUCUGCGUGGAGCCGUCCUUGAAAUACCACCCUUUAAUGGCUGGUGUUCUAACGUGGGCCCCUGACCGGGGUUGCGGACAGUGUCUGGUGGGUAGUUUGACUGGGGCGGUCUCCUCCCAAAGAGUAACGGAGGAGCACGAAGGUUGGCUAAUCCUGGUCGGACAUCAGGAGGUUAGUGCAAUGGCAUAAGCCAGCUUGACUGCGAGCGUGACGGCGCGAGCAGGUGCGAAAGCAGGUCAUAGUGAUCCGGUGGUUCUGAAUGGAAGGGCCAUCGCUCAACGGAUAAAAGGUACUCCGGGGAUAACAGGCUGAUACCGCCCAAGAGUUCAUAUCGACGGCGGUGUUUGGCACCUCGAUGUCGGCUCAUCACAUCCUGGGGCUGAAGUAGGUCCCAAGGGUAUGGCUGUUCGCCAUUUAAAGUGGUACGCGAGCUGGGUUUAGAACGUCGUGAGACAGUUCGGUCCCUAUCUGCCGUGGGCGCUGGAAGAUUGAGGGGGGCUGCUCCUAGUACGAGAGGACCGGAGUGGACGCAUCACUGGUGUUCGGGUUGUCAUGCCAAUGGCACUGCCCGGUAGCUAAAUGCGGAAGAGAUAAGUGCUGAAAGCAUCUAAGCACGAAACUUGCCCCGAGAUGAAUCUUCCCUGAGACUUUAAGUCUCCUGAAGGAACGUUGAAGACGACGACGUUGAUAGGCCGGGUGUGUAAGCGCAGCGAUGCGUUGAGCUAACCGGUACUAAUGAACCGUGAGGCUUAACCUU
This 2905-nucleotide ribosomal RNA is filed under the name Salmonella bongori. RNAcentral describes it as "23S ribosomal RNA". It matches the Rfam family "Bacterial large subunit ribosomal RNA". Lineage: Bacteria; Pseudomonadati; Pseudomonadota; Gammaproteobacteria; Enterobacterales; Enterobacteriaceae. RNAcentral also lists the same sequence under 2 other names. The record is from RNAcentral.